GGGUUGUGAGGUUAAGCGACUAAGCGUACACGGUGGAUGCCCUGGCAGUCAGAGGCGAUGAAGGACGUGCUAAUCUGCGAUAAGCGUCGGUAAGGUGAUAUGAACCGUUAUAACCGGCGAUUUCCGAAUGGGGAAACCCAGUGUGUUUCGACACACUAUCAUUAACUGAAUCCAUAGGUUAAUGAGGCGAACCGGGGGAACUGAAACAUCUAAGUACCCCGAGGAAAAGAAAUCAACCGAGAUUCCCCCAGUAGCGGCGAGCGAACGGGGAGGAGCCCAGAGCCUGAAUCAGUGUGUGUGUUAGUGGAAGCGUCUGGAAAGGCGCGCGAUACAGGGUGACAGCCCCGUACACAAAAAUGCACAUGUUGUGAGCUCGAUGAGUAGGGCGGGACACGUGGUAUCCUGUCUGAAUAUGGGGGGACCAUCCUCCAAGGCUAAAUACUCCUGACUGACCGAUAGUGAACCAGUACCGUGAGGGAAAGGCGAAAAGAACCCCGGCGAGGGGAGUGAAAAAGAACCUGAAACCGUGUACGUACAAGCAGUGGGAGCCUCUUUUAUGGGGUGACUGCGUACCUUUUGUAUAAUGGGUCAGCGACUUAUAUUCUGUAGCAAGGUUAACCGAAUAGGGGAGCCGAAGGGAAACCGAGUCUUAACUGGGCGUUAAGUUGCAGGGUAUAGACCCGAAACCCGGUGAUCUAGCCAUGGGCAGGUUGAAGGUUGGGUAACACUAACUGGAGGACCGAACCGACUAAUGUUGAAAAAUUAGCGGAUGACUUGUGGCUGGGGGUGAAAGGCCAAUCAAACCGGGAGAUAGCUGGUUCUCCCCGAAAGCUAUUUAGGUAGCGCCUCGUGAAUUCAUCUCCGGGGGUAGAGCACUGUUUCGGCAAGGGGGUCAUCCCGACUUACCAACCCGAUGCAAACUGCGAAUACCGGAGAAUGUUAUCACGGGAGACACACGGCGGGUGCUAACGUCCGUCGUGAAGAGGGAAACAACCCAGACCGCCAGCUAAGGUCCCAAAGUCAUGGUUAAGUGGGAAACGAUGUGGGAAGGCCCAGACAGCCAGGAUGUUGGCUUAGAAGCAGCCAUCAUUUAAAGAAAGCGUAAUAGCUCACUGGUCGAGUCGGCCUGCGCGGAAGAUGUAACGGGGCUAAACCAUGCACCGAAGCUGCGGCAGCGACACUAUGUGUUGUUGGGUAGGGGAGCGUUCUGUAAGCCUGUGAAGGUGUACUGUGAGGUAUGCUGGAGGUAUCAGAAGUGCGAAUGCUGACAUAAGUAACGAUAAAGCGGGUGAAAAGCCCGCUCGCCGGAAGACCAAGGGUUCCUGUCCAACGUUAAUCGGGGCAGGGUGAGUCGACCCCUAAGGCGAGGCCGAAAGGCGUAGUCGAUGGGAAACAGGUUAAUAUUCCUGUACUUGGUGUUACUGCGAAGGGGGGACGGAGAAGGCUAUGUUGGCCGGGCGACGGUUGUCCCGGUUUAAGCGUGUAGGCUGGUUUUCCAGGCAAAUCCGGAAAAUCAAGGCUGAGGCGUGAUGACGAGGCACUACGGUGCUGAAGCAACAAAUGCCCUGCUUCCAGGAAAAGCCUCUAAGCAUCAGGUAACAUCAAAUCGUACCCCAAACCGACACAGGUGGUCAGGUAGAGAAUACCAAGGCGCUUGAGAGAACUCGGGUGAAGGAACUAGGCAAAAUGGUGCCGUAACUUCGGGAGAAGGCACGCUGAUAUGUAGGUGAAGUCCCUCGCGGAUGGAGCUGAAAUCAGUCGAAGAUACCAGCUGGCUGCAACUGUUUAUUAAAAACACAGCACUGUGCAAACACGAAAGUGGACGUAUACGGUGUGACGCCUGCCCGGUGCCGGAAGGUUAAUUGAUGGGGUCAGCGCAAGCGAAGCUCUUGAUCGAAGCCCCGGUAAACGGCGGCCGUAACUAUAACGGUCCUAAGGUAGCGAAAUUCCUUGUCGGGUAAGUUCCGACCUGCACGAAUGGCGUAAUGAUGGCCAGGCUGUCUCCACCCGAGACUCAGUGAAAUUGAACUCGCUGUGAAGAUGCAGUGUACCCGCGGCAAGACGGAAAGACCCCGUGAACCUUUACUAUAGCUUGACACUGAACAUUGAGCCUUGAUGUGUAGGAUAGGUGGGAGGCUUAGAAGUGUGGACGCCAGUCUGCAUGGAGCCGACCUUGAAAUACCACCCUUUAAUGUUUGAUGUUCUAACGUUGACCCGUGAUCCGGGUUGCGGACAGUGUCUGGUGGGUAGUUUGACUGGGGCGGUCUCCUCCUAAAGAGUAACGGAGGAGCACGAAGGUUGGCUAAUCCUGGUCGGACAUCAGGAGGUUAGUGCAAUGGCAUAAGCCAGCUUGACUGCGAGCGUGACGGCGCGAGCAGGUGCGAAAGCAGGUCAUAGUGAUCCGGUGGUUCUGAAUGGAAGGGCCAUCGCUCAACGGAUAAAAGGUACUCCGGGGAUAACAGGCUGAUACCGCCCAAGAGUUCAUAUCGACGGCGGUGUUUGGCACCUCGAUGUCGGCUCAUCACAUCCUGGGGCUGAAGUAGGUCCCAAGGGUAUGGCUGUUCGCCAUUUAAAGUGGUACGCGAGCUGGGUUUAGAACGUCGUGAGACAGUUCGGUCCCUAUCUGCCGUGGGCGCUGGAGAACUGAGGGGGGCUGCUCCUAGUACGAGAGGACCGGAGUGGACGCAUCACUGGUGUUCGGGUUGUCAUGCCAAUGGCACUGCCCGGUAGCUAAAUGCGGAAGAGAUAAGUGCUGAAAGCAUCUAAGCACGAAACUUGCCCCGAGAUGAGUUCUCCCUGACCCUUUAAGGGUCCUGAAGGAACGUUGAAGACGACGACGUUGAUAGGCCGGGUGUGUAAGCGCAGCGAUGCGUUGAGCUAACCGGUACUAAUGAACCGUGAGGCUUAACCUUACAACGCCGAAG
RNAcentral lists this ribosomal RNA (2924 nucleotides) under Escherichia coli. RNAcentral describes it as "partial 23S ribosomal RNA". It matches the Rfam family "Bacterial large subunit ribosomal RNA". The record is from RNAcentral. Lineage: Bacteria; Pseudomonadati; Pseudomonadota; Gammaproteobacteria; Enterobacterales; Enterobacteriaceae.